Molecule: non-coding RNA, 96 nt
Filed under: Sphingopyxis granuli
Lineage: Bacteria; Pseudomonadati; Pseudomonadota; Alphaproteobacteria; Sphingomonadales; Sphingopyxidaceae
Also listed under: 1 other name
Description: Glycine sequence
Rfam family: Glycine riboswitch aptamer
About the family: This family represents the bacterial glycine riboswitch. Glycine riboswitches usually consist of two metabolite-binding aptamers domains with similar structures in tandem.
Source: RNAcentral
ACCGGCCGCGCGGGAGAGCGCGGGGCAGGCGACUGCACCGCCACCGAAGGAGCAACCGCCCCGGAAACUCUCAGGUCAAGGGACCGCGCAGCCGGA